Long non-coding RNA from Siniperca chuatsi (mandarin fish), 1550 nucleotides. RefSeq lists it as uncharacterized. Lineage: Eukaryota; Metazoa; Chordata; Actinopteri; Centrarchiformes; Sinipercidae. The transcript is spliced from 3 exons. The record is from RefSeq and is a predicted model, not a curated record.
CCCUCAUGCAUGAAGGUGUCUCCCCCUGGAAGAACCCUCUGGAGCUCUUCUAGACCUUUGCGAAUGUGUUCCCUGAGCAGAUAUACAUAAAACGAGCUGGAUGAAAGAAAAGCAAAGGAUUAAAAGCUGUUUUGAGGGGAUCUGCACCCACCUGUCUUCUGUCAGGCUCAUUAAGAUCCUUCCCUCAGUGGAAAACACAAUGAAGGACAUCCGCAACUGUGGACUGGGGCAAGGAGAAGAGGGGAAAAAAUAUACUCUGUUAGCACAAACAGCCCAGCCAACAGGCUGAAACAUUGGAACAUCUGGACGGAAUGGAGAAAGAGCAGUGCAGACACGGAGAAGAGAGAAGAGAGGAGAAGAAAGAUCAGCCAGAUACUGCAAGAGGACAGUGAGGGCAGGUGGAGGACAUCACUGCUAAAAGGCAGCGGAGCGAGCUAAGAUCCCGCCUGGAGAAAAGACAGGAAAAGGAACAGCUAAUGCAGUGAAUUGAUGCCCGACAAUAAAUACUGUGACGUCACACAUGUAAUAUAAAUCUAUGUUGUUAAAACAUUGCUCAUGCUAACAAUUACUCUCUAUUACACACAAUCAAUUGCCUAAUUUCCUCUCAGAGAAACAGCAGUGUGCCCGGAGUUGGCACUGACAUGUACUGUAGGACAACUGGAAAAUCCAACACCAUCUCUGAAAGGAGAGUGACGGAGAGAGGGAGAUGGCAGACUGCAAUCCUCCGAUCCCAUCUUCCAGAUAAGAAAAAUUACGAGUUGAGCUGGAUGAUACAUUUGUUGUUGACCUAGUUGGCAAACAUUUAGGCUUUUUAACAAAAACAAGUAGUUUUAAGCCAGGUUUACAAAACACAAAUGUCAUAAGGUAAGUUCUCUGUUGUAGUCCAAAGGCAACAGCCUUGGUAAGUUAAUUGUCAGUGCCAGAGGAGCUGUGUGCAUAUUUAUCUAUAGUAUGAAGUGUUUUUCUUACGAAUCCCAGUCGGGAAAACUCAGGUAAACACUGCUCAUGUAUGACAAUGACCCUUUUUGAGAACCUUAAACUGUUUUCACUUGACUGGCUUUGCUGACGAGAUUGCUCAAUUCCUGUUUAUCUAAAUUUGUAGAGCAUGGAAAUGAAAGUUUUACUUACAAAUACAACAUGUAUAUCAUCCAGAUAUCUGCAAAAAUGAUAAGAAAUUAAAGGGACCAUAUCAUGCCUCAUCAAAGUGUUAUUGACAUGAUCAGAUAAACGUUCAAUGUGGCUGAAGGGAAAUGCAGAGCUCACCAAAAACCAGGCUAGAUAAACAUGGAAACUGUUUCUAAAUCAAGACCCAUGUAUCCAAAUGACUUUGCAGGAAGUCCAAACAUCCUGUGUCCUACUUGAGAGACACUGACUAUGUUAUAAAUAUAAUGAUGCAGGUUAUUUAUGCACUUACUGGUGACCAAUUCUGGAUAAAAACUGCCCACACAGUAUGUGUUAUGUUAUGUUAUGAGGAUGAACACAACAGUCACCUAUACUGCUUAUAGUCUGUGCAGCCUGCAGCUGACUGAUGAAUGGGGUAACACACCACU